UCAAGCCUGCGAGUGGAAGAGCAAAUCAGAAAUAUCUUUCAUUCAUGUACACACCCUAAAAAUUAAAUUUGUUGGGAAACAGAAACUGGGUAUAAACGCAGUCGAUUAAACACAAAUUUCAGCGCCAAAUACUCACAUUGAAGGGAGCUUCAACUUCAUGAAAGCUAGUUCUUUUCUUUCUCGUCAAUUUUCACAAUUACAAGUCUUGCUUUCAUCGCUCCAAAAAUCUUUACUGUUACCAGUAAAUCUAAGUCUUGAAGAACUUAUUGGCAAAGCAUUAGACCAAUAUCCUGCAGUCAAAACCUUAAAGAAUGUCCACUCUAUCAUAUUUCGUUGCCAUCUUCAUCUGGACCCCUCUCUCGGAAUCAAACUGAUGAGGGCUUAUGCUGCUAGAGGGGAAGUUCACCCGACACGCAAGCUGUUCGACGAAAUUCCUGCAAAGAAUGUUGUUUUCUAUAAUGUCAUGAUAAGGAGCUAUGUGAACAACCACUUGUACAAUGAUGCACUGGAAGUUUUCAAGACCAUGAUUAAUGGUGGCUUAGGUCCGGAUAACUAUACAUACCCUUGUGUCCUAAAGGCCUGCUAUUGCUCUGAAAAUCUAAGAUUUGGGCUGCAACUUCAUGGGGCUGUGUUAAAGAUUCGACUUGAUUCGAAUUUGUUUAUUGGAAAUGGUUUAAUUGCCAUGUAUGGGAAAUGUUGUCAUUUAUUCGAGGCACGACGAGUAUUGGAUGAGUUGCAAGGCAAAGAUGUUGUUUCCUGGAAUGCAAUGGUUGUCGGGUAUGCACAAAAUGGACAAUUUGAUGACGCACUUGAGAUUUGCCGGGAAAUGAAGGUGUCAGGACAAUGGCCUGAUGCUGGUACGAUGGCUAGCCUCAUGCCAGCUAUAAAUAACACAUCAUCUGAAAAUGUUUCAUUUGUUAAGGAUAUGUUCAUGAAUUUAGAGAAGAAGACUUUGGUCUCAUGGAAUGUGAUGAUAGCUGUGUUUGUAAAAAAUUCAAUGCCCAACGAAGCUGUCAAGUUAUAUUUACAAAUGGAAAAAAAUAGGGUGGAGCCUGAUGCGAUCACCUUGGCUUGUGUUACGUUAGCCUGUGGGGAUCUUUCGGCUCUGUCGCUUGGGAAAAUAAUUCAUGAAUAUGUUGAGAGGAAGAAACUAUGCCCCAAUGUGAUAUUGGAGAAUGCAUUGAUAGACAUGUAUGCUAGGUGUGGAUGUCUAGAAGAUGCAAGGGAAGUGUUUGACAGAAUGAAGUUCCGUGACAUUGCAUCAUGGACAUCAUUGAUAUCUGCUUAUGCUAUGACUGGGCAAGGUCGCAAUGCUAUCUUGCUCUUCAAAGAAAUGCAAGAUUCGGGUUUAAGUCCUGAUUCCAUUUCUUUUGUUGCUCUUCUCUCUGCUUGUAGCCAUUCGGGUUUACUGGAUGAAGGGAAGUUCUACUUUAAACAAAUGACGGUUGAUUAUAAAAUAGCCCCAAGGAUUGAACAUUUUGCAUGCAUGGUGGAUGUCUUGGGACGUGCUGGGCAGGUUGAUGAGGCCUAUAAUUUCAUCAUACAGAUGCCUUUGGAACCUAAUGAGAGAGUUUGGGGUGCUCUGCUUAGUGCUUGUCGCGUGUACUCCAACAUGGAUAUUGGGCUUUUAGCAGCUGAUAGACUUUUUCAGUUGGCCCCUGAGCAGUCAGGUUACUACGUGCUGUUAUCUAAUAUAUAUGCAAAGGCUGGUAGAUGGAAAGAAGUAACUGCUAUUCGAUCAUUAAUGAAGAGAAGAAAACUUAGGAAAACACCUGGAAUCAGCAAUGUUGAGCUGAAUAAUCAGAUUUACACCUUUCUCGCUGGUGAUAGAUCUCACCCACAGUCAAAGGAGAUAUAUGAAGAACUAGAGGUAUUGGUGGGAAAGAUGAAAGAAUUAGGUUAUGUCCCUGAGACUGAUUCUGCUCUUCAUGAUGUGGAGGAAGAGGACAAGGAAUACCAUCUAGCUGUGCACAGUGAAAAGUUAGCUAUUGUGUUCGCUAUUUUGAAUACACAACCUGGUUUUCCAAUCAGAAUUACAAAGAACCUUCGGGUCUGUGGAGAUUGCCAUAUUGCUGCCAAGCUUAUCUCCAAGAUAGUUGAGCGUGAAAUUAUUGUUAGGGACACUCAUCGAUUCCACCAAUUCAAAGAUGGGAUGUGCUCUUGUGGAGACUAUUGGUGAGAGCCAACCUGAUCAGUCUCUAAUUGAGACUUUAACAUUAUUAUUGACGGACUAUUUAAGGCUUUAUGGGGUCAAAUUUUGGAUCGAAUAUUAUCUGAAGCUAAUUGCCGUGAACUGCAAAUCGGCAACUCUGGUGAUCCUGUACAUUGCUCAGCACACAAAAACAGAUCCUGUAUAUGUAAUACGAUGGCCUGAGAAGAUUGAGUAUCUUGUUGAAGGAGUUUCUGAUACCGGUAUUGGAAGCUGCUUGAAAGAAUUUCAAGACUGGAAGUUUUGUUGGGGAGGUAUUACUGAGAAUUGGGAUGGAAUGCUUCGUGUUGACGCCACCAGUUUAUUCUUAAAUAUCUAGGUUGCAUGAGCACAAGAUACAUGGGCACCUAAAAUUUCCAUGAGCUUAGUCUUUCAAAUAGCCGUAAAAUUGAAAUGAUUGAAGGAGGUUCAUAUGCGUGUACAAGAUUUUAUCAGACUUUUGAAUACAUUCCAGCAUUUGUAGUAAUAACGCAUUAGUUAGUCGUAAAAUAUUCUGGAUGUUUAGCCAAAUCGCAAUAAUG
Molecule: RNA transcript, 2730 nt
Organism: Neltuma alba
Lineage: Eukaryota; Viridiplantae; Streptophyta; Magnoliopsida; Fabales; Fabaceae
Gene name: putative pentatricopeptide repeat-containing protein At3g49142
Exons: 3
Source: RefSeq, a predicted model, not a curated record